RNAcentral lists this ribosomal RNA (781 nucleotides) under Corynebacterium hansenii. RNAcentral's name for it is "bacterial SSU rRNA". It matches the Rfam family "Bacterial small subunit ribosomal RNA", at positions 721 to 1502 of the family's 1533-position model. The record is from RNAcentral. Lineage: Bacteria; Bacillati; Actinomycetota; Actinomycetes; Mycobacteriales; Corynebacteriaceae.
GCGGGUCUCUGGGCAGUAACUGACGCUGAGGAGCGAAAGCAUGGGUAGCGAAAGGAAAGGUACCCUGGUAGUCCAUGCCGUAAACGGUGGGCGCUAGGUGUAGGGGUCUUCCACGACUUCUGUGCCGUAGCUAACGCAUUAAGCGCCCCGCCUGGGGAGUACGGCCGCAAGGCUAAAACUCAAAGGAAUUGACGGGGGCCCGCACAAGCGGCGGAGCAUGUGGAUUAAUUCGAUGCAACGCGAAGAACCUUACCUGGGCUUGACAUAUACGGGAUCGCCGCAGAGAUGUGGUUUCCCUUGUGGCUCGUAUACAGGUGGUGCAUGGUUGUCGUCAGCUCGUGUCGUGAGAUGUUGGGUUAAGUCCCGCAACGAGCGCAACCCUUGUCUUAUGUUGCCAGCACGUUAUGGUGGGUACUCGUGAGAAACUGCCGGGGUCAACUCGGAGGAAGGUGGGGAUGACGUCAAAUCAUCAUGCCCCUUAUGUCCAGGGCUUCACACAUGCUACAAUGGUCGGUACAGUGGGUUGCGAUACCGUGAGGUGGAGCUAAUCCCUUAAAGCCGGUCUCAGUUCGGAUCGGGGUCUGCAACUCGACCCCGUGAAGUCGGAGUCGCUAGUAAUCGCAGAUCAGCAACGCUGCGGUGAAUACGUUCCCGGGCCUUGUACACACCGCCCGUCACGUCAUGAAAGUCGGUAACACCCGAAGCCAGUGGCCCAACCCUUGUGGGGGGAGCUGUCGAAGGUGGGAUCGGUGAUUGGGACGAAGUCGUACAAGGGUAACAA